Non-coding RNA from Myodes glareolus (Bank vole), 2647 nucleotides. The record is from RefSeq and is a predicted model, not a curated record. Lineage: Eukaryota; Metazoa; Chordata; Mammalia; Rodentia; Cricetidae.
UUGGAGCAUGGCGGCCAUCCAGCUGAAAACUGUCAUUGCACUGCGGAUCACAAUGAACUCAAAGCCACAGAGCUAGUUACUGGUAGAAUAUGGUACCUUUACCACCCAGGAGAAUGCUUGCUGAUAAACUGAACAUGCAUAACUGUGUUUCUCUGUACGGCUUUGCAAGGGAAACAUCAGCAUAACAGACACACAGAGGAUGUAUAAAGCUAUUGAAAACAUAAAAGGGGACGGAGCCUCACAUUCAACACCUGAGUCCCAAAGGGUAGGUCUGGACUUCCUUUCUGUGAAUUAAACAAAAUGGAAGUGGAUUGUUUUCAUCUUGUGUGGAACUAUGGAGGGAAACUGUCUGCUCUGGGCAGUUUACAGAGACCAAGUACUUCCAGCGUACUGGUCUAACGUCUGUACUGGUGGUCCUAGACAGCUACCAUCCACCUUCCUAGCAGAAGAAAAAGAAAAGAAGGGACACCAGAAGACCAGUAAUGUAUCUAUCAUAGCACUAUAGAGAAGAUGUGGACUAAAUCCCGAGCCUCUGGGCUCAUGGAUAUGUUUAGAAAGCUUCCUGGAGCUUGCUGAGACACAUCCCAGCUAGGACAAUUAGGCUAGAUUGACUCUCAGAUACCUUUCAGCCAUGAGCCAUUCUGAGUAAAAAGAACUGGAGAGAUCGAUGAAGCUAAGUUUUCUCCCUGCAGUGAAUCCAGUACACUCUUCCAUGCAGUUAAGCCUAAAGACUCAGGUGGGAUGUCCCUGUGCCAAGGACAGCACUGAGAUUUGCAGGGGUGUUCACUAGGCAGUGAUACAGCAUAUGAAGAGGCAGGGAUCCUGCCUGAUGAUACUUGUGAAGAAUAGGCCCUGUCACCUGAGGGCAACAGGUUAGCUAGCCCCCUCCACCGAGUUGGGGACCUAUAUGAUCUGCAAGAAAAUGACAGGCUGACUUCUCCUAGGAGAGGAAGGAGCCUGGGGGCGUGUUUUAAGCUGUGUGACUCAACCUCUCGGGUCAGUCAUAGAACCUCCUUAGCAUUCUCACUUCUAAAAUUAGAAAUAGCAAUUCCCUCUUUGCAGGGUGGUAGGAAAGACUGAGUGGCACUAGAAGCACACCCAUGUGCCUGGUGAAUAGCUAGCCCCACAGUGCCUUCCUACCUGUGAACACUGCCUGGAGAGCCAAGUCAGGUACCUGCCACCUCUCCAGCCCUUGACGCCCUGCCAGAGAGGGGUUUAUGGAGACCUGCUGAGUCCCUUUGCAUAUCUUUAACAAGUGGAGGGCCCAACAGUAAAUCUUUACCAUCUCCUCUGAAAGUCAGGUUCUCAGGCAGAAAGGUGCCUGAUGGUCUCAGGGUCAGGCAGAGGCAGGUGGAGGAAACAUUUUCCGAGGAAUACAAGUUGGGGGAGUGGCUAGGUGAACCUCAGCCUCACAGGUACUGGUCUUGGAUAAAGUGGAAUAUAUCUAGUGUGUCCUCUGGGCACCUGCUCAGAUGCCCUCAGGCAAAGCUCUGCAGCAGUCAGUGUGCUAAGCCCUUCCUUGGGCCUGAAAUGAAAUCUAACUGCCUCCAAGGGGGAAAAAGAGAAUGCCUACAGGCUCACCUUUGGGCUCCCUGUGCACCACCUGCCUAGGCGAGGCCCUUGGAAGUGCCUGGCCGUCCGCUCUGCCCUCCUCCUGGGAAGGACGCAGGCGUGAGAGAGCUACUUUUAAGGCAGAGAGUUGGGGCCUGACUCACAUCUCCAGAUUUGAAGAGAAGGCUUGACAAUCUUCUGGACAUUCCGAACAUGGGGAUCACAGAGAGCAGAAGGUUUAUUCUCAAACAGGAAGCAUCCAGAGGACUCUAUAACCCGCUCCCCGGAUCAAGGGCAGUGCUGUCCUGGGAGUGGGAAGGGCAGCGCGGAUCUCCUGCAACUGUCUUUAUCAUCAGUACUACUACUACUGCCAGGAGGAUGGGGUCCUGUUCUGAGAGCCACAAUGACUUCCCACCAUGUCCUCCCUGACAUCAUCUAAGCCUACUCCAGUGGACCCCCUGAGCCUGUCACAGCCCAGGGGACCCAUCAGAAAGCCAUGAGAAACUAGCACCUCUGGAAGCCAGAAAGAGGCUCCUGGACGGACAGAGAGAAUUCAAGGAACUCAAGAGGCUGCAGCAGCUGCUGAAAAGGGAGACGGCCAUACCUGCAGGUAACACCACAGCCACCGUGAAGCCUGAAUGGUUGGCUGCCCCGUGGCUAGAGGAAGAAGCCAGAUUCUGCUUUUAUCCCAGUAUCAGAGCAACUGUAAAUCUGUGUGUUCACAGGUUGGAGCCCCAGCCAUUCACGACCUUAAACCACCCGCUGCCACAAUGUUCCAGCCCUUGAAACCCUUCAUAGGAUGAGGGCUACUGGGGCGCUGCCUGGACUGGCUCUCACUUUCUUAAACACUUAGGAUAGAGAGUGGAAAAGCAGGCACGGUACAAAAGGACUCUGGUUUCCAGGAACACCAGCACUUGCCUGCUCCUUGACCUAUGUACCUGACCAUGGCUACACCUAAGUUGCUGGCUGCAAGCAGUUUUUCUGGAGUCCUAGGUGGGGGACAGAGGAGCAGGAACGGGCAGCCACAGAGAACGCAAUGGUGACAUCUUUUCUGAAAAAGAACAGGACCUUGGAGUAAAAACAUCCAAAGAAGCCA